This 315-nucleotide ribosomal RNA is filed under the name uncultured fungus. RNAcentral describes it as "SSU rRNA". It matches the Rfam family "Eukaryotic small subunit ribosomal RNA", at positions 1344 to 1680 of the family's 1831-position model. The record is from RNAcentral. Lineage: Eukaryota; Fungi.
UAACCUGCUAAAUAGACCAGUCGACUUUGGUUGACUGCUGUCUUCUUAGAGGGACUAUCAGCGUUUAGCUGAUGGAAGUUUGAGGCAAUAACAGGUCUGUGAUGCCCUUAGAUGUUCUGGGCCGCACGCGCGCUACACUGACAGAGCCAGCGAGUCUUUUUCCUUUGCCGGAAGGCAUGGGUAAUCUUGUGAAACUCUGUCGUGAUGGGGAUAGAACAUUGCAAUUAUUGUUCUUCAACGAGGAAUACCUAGUAAGCGUGAUUCAUCAGAUCGCGUUGAUUACGUCCCUGCCCUUUGUACACACCGCCCGUCGCU